Molecule: ribosomal RNA, 465 nt
Filed under: uncultured bacterium
Lineage: Bacteria
Description: partial 16S ribosomal RNA
Rfam family: Bacterial small subunit ribosomal RNA
Source: RNAcentral
CCUACGGGUGGCAGCAGUGGGGAAUAUUGCGCAAUGGGCGAAAGCCUGACGCAGCGACGCCGCGUGAGGGAUGAAGGCCUUCGGAUCGUAAACUUCUGUCAGCGGGGAGGAACGGUCACUGUGCUAAUCAGCAGUGAAUUGACGGUACCUGCAAAGGAAGCACCGGCUAACUCCGUGCCAGCAGCCGCGGUAAUACGGAGGGUGCGAGCGUUAAUCGGAAUUACUGGGCGUAAAGCGCUCGUAGGCGGUAUGUCAAGUCACGGGUGAAAUCCCCGCGCUCAACGUGGGAACUGCCUUUGAAACUGGCAAGCUGGAGUGUGUGAGAGGAUAGUGGAAUUCCAGGUGUAGGAGUGAAAUGCGUAGAUAUCUGGAGGAACAUCAGUGGCGAAGGCGACUAUCUGGCACAUAACUGACGCUGAGGAGCGAAAGCGUGGGUAGCAAACAGGAUUAGAUACCCUAGUAGUC